CGAUUGAGUUUGAUCCUGGCUCAGGAUGAACGCUGGCGGCGUGCCUAACACAUGCAAGUCGAACGGGGACAGACGGAAACCUAGUGAAGUCUGUCCGAGUGGCGGACGGGUGAGUAACGCGUGGAUAACCUGCCGCAUGCAGGGGGAUACCGGCUGGAAACAGCCGCUAAUACCGCAUAAGCGCACGGUGCCGCAUGGCAGAGUGCGAAAAGGAGAAAUCCGGCAAGCGAUGGAUCCGCGUCCGAUUAGCCAGUUGGCGGGGUAAUGGCCCACCAAAGCGACGAUCGGUAGCCGGCCUGAGAGGGCGGACGGCCACAUUGGGACUGAGACACGGCCCAGACUCCUACGGGAGGCAGCAGUGGGGGAUAUUGCACAAUGGGGGAAACCCUGAUGCAGCGACGCCGCGUGGGUGAAGAAGUAUUUCGGUAUGUAAAGCCCUAUCAGCAGGGAAGAAAGAAGACGGUACCUGACUAAGAAGCCCCGGCUAACUACGUGCCAGCAGCCGCGGUAAUACGUAGGGGGCGAGCGUUAUCCGGAUUCACUGGGUGUAAAGGGAGCGUAGACGGCCGUGCAAGCCAGGAGUGAAAGCCCGGGGCCCAACCCCGGGACUGCUCUUGGAACUGUGCGGCUGGAGUGCGGGAGGGGCAGGC
RNAcentral lists this ribosomal RNA (650 nucleotides) under uncultured bacterium. RNAcentral's name for it is "bacterial SSU rRNA". It matches the Rfam family "Bacterial small subunit ribosomal RNA", at positions 1 to 662 of the family's 1533-position model. The record is from RNAcentral.